GAUGAACGCUGGCGGCGUGCCUAAUACAUGCAAGUCGAGCGAACAGAUGAGAAGCUUGCUUCUCUGAUGUUAGCGGCGGACGGGUGAGUAACACGUGGGUAACCUACCUAUAAGACUGGGAUAACUCCGGGAAACCGGGGCUAAUACCGGAUAAUAUUUUGAACCGCAUGGUUCAAUAGUGAAAGACGGUUUCGGCUGCCACUUAUAGAUGGACCCGCGCCGUAUUAGCUAGUUGGUAAGGUAACGGCUUACCAAGGCGACGAUACGUAGCCGACCUGAGAGGGUGAUCGGCCACACUGGAACUGAGACACGGUCCAG
This 318-nucleotide ribosomal RNA is filed under the name uncultured bacterium. RNAcentral describes it as "bacterial SSU rRNA". It matches the Rfam family "Bacterial small subunit ribosomal RNA", at positions 28 to 334 of the family's 1533-position model. The record is from RNAcentral.